UACGAAAGGGGCUAGCGUUGUUCGGAAUUACUGGGCGUAAAGCGCACGUAGGCGGCUUGGUAAGUUGGGGGUGAAAUCCCGGAGCUCAACUCCGGAACUGCCUUCAAAACUGCUAGGCUAGAGGAUGCGAGAGGUUGGCGGAAUUCCGAGUGUAGAGGUGAAAUUCGUAGAUAUUCGGAAGAACACCAGUGGCGAAGGCGGCCAACUGGAGCAUUUCUGACGCUGAGGUGCGAAAGCGUGGGGAGCAAACAGG
This 253-nucleotide ribosomal RNA is filed under the name uncultured bacterium. RNAcentral's name for it is "partial 16S ribosomal RNA". It matches the Rfam family "Bacterial small subunit ribosomal RNA", at positions 524 to 776 of the family's 1533-position model. The record is from RNAcentral.